Non-coding RNA from Cinara cedri, 368 nucleotides. NCBI's taxonomy places the organism in Eukaryota, Metazoa, Arthropoda, Insecta, Hemiptera, Aphididae. The record is from the annotation of a GenBank genome assembly.
CAAGAAAUGAAUAAUGUUGUUAUACUGUAAAAGUUCAAAUAUGACAAAUCAGGCGAGCACGCUGGGCAAUAAGGAUCACCUCUUAAAGAGAUAAGACUACUGGGUAAUUGAUCAUGUAAAAGAUACAUUGACAUUCUUGCAAUCCAGUCCAAAGUAGUAAAUCAGUUAACAGGACACGUGUAUUUUAUAAAUAAAACUAUGAUUUGUUAAAUAGUAAAUUGUUUUAUUAGGACGCCACACAGACAAAUACUGUUAGUGGCAGGAUUUUUUAAAUACAGUGUAAAUUUAAUUUUAAAAUUACAACUUUUUUUUAUUUCUUUUUUUCUACAUAAUAUACUGAAGUCACAAUUUAAUGAUAAAAAUAUGAC